RNAcentral lists this ribosomal RNA (486 nucleotides) under uncultured bacterium. Its description in RNAcentral is "partial 16S ribosomal RNA". It matches the Rfam family "Bacterial small subunit ribosomal RNA", at positions 29 to 507 of the family's 1533-position model. The record is from RNAcentral.
AGUGAACGCUGGCGGCAUGCCUUACACAUGCAAGUCGAACGGCAGCACGGUUGGUUGCUCCUGGUGGCGAGUGGCGAACGGGUGAGUAAUACAUCUGCACCGGUCCCUUAGUGUUGGAUAGGCCUGCGGAAGCGGGAUUUAUGCUGCUAACGAACUCCGGCUGACAGUGGGGGCCCUUCGUCCUUCGAGCUAUAGGGAUGGCCGAUGCCGGAUUAGGUAGUUGGUGGGGUAAAGGCCUACCACGGCGACGAUCAGUAGCUGGUCUGAGAGGACGACCAGCCACACGGGAACUGAGACACGGCCCAGACGCCUACGGGAGGCAGCAGUGGGGAAUUUUGGACAAUGGGCGCAAGCCUGAUCCAGCAAUGCCGCGUGUGUGAAGAAGGCCUUCGGGUUGUAAAGCACUUUUGUCCGGAAAGAAAAGCUUGGCUCUAAUACCGUCGGGGGAUGACGGUACCGGAAGAAUAAGCACCGGCUAACUACGUG